CGACAUCUAAGCUGAGAUCUGAAUGUUGAUGCAGUUGUAGGCAUAGGAACAUUAUUGUGUCCAGCGAUUUCAGGGCACAGUCUGCAGCUGGUGGCACAACUCUCAGGGCUAUAUAAUGAUGUAUGGCUUGUUCUUCGUGGCCCUCUGCAAAAAAAAAUAUGAAUUUCAGAACGUGAACAACUAGCAGACAUCUGCUGCAUUAAGAGGGAAAAGUCAGAGCUAACUAGUUUAUCUUGGAAACAUUUCCAUUUCUAUUAAGUUUCCAGGCAAAGUGGAUUCUGCUGGUCAGGGCACCACACUUCGGGAACCAUGACCCUCUGAUAACCUUCCCUUUGGCAUGCAGAGUAGCUCCUGUGUCCAAGGCAGUAGGCAGGAACCAGGUGAAGAUGAUACCAAGAAGUCUCUGAAGAGGGUCCUGUUCUCAGGGAGAUAACAGACCAGUGAGCCUAGGUGGAGAAUGACAUUGAAAUAUGAACCAAGCAAAGACUGGAAAGGUGAAGGUCAUCAUUGGCCAACGUCUUCCUUCUCAGUUACUAAAACAAGUCAUGGGAUUAAGUCAUGAUCAUCACCCCAUGUGACACUGAAAGGAAUGAAGAGACUAUAUUGGAUAUUCAGUUAAUUAUAUGUCUCAUGCUU
Homo sapiens (human) is the source of this 636-nucleotide long non-coding RNA. Lineage: Eukaryota; Metazoa; Chordata; Mammalia; Primates; Hominidae. The record is from Ensembl.